Molecule: ribosomal RNA, 253 nt
Filed under: uncultured bacterium
Lineage: Bacteria
Description: partial 16S ribosomal RNA
Rfam family: Bacterial small subunit ribosomal RNA
Source: RNAcentral
UACAGAGGUGCCAAGCGUUAGGCGGAAUUACUGGGCGUAAAGCGUGCGUAGGUGGUUUGUUAAGUCCGUUGUGAAAGCCCCGAGCUCAACUUGGGAAUUGCAGUGGAUACUGGCGAGCUAGAGUGCGGUAGAGGAAGGUGGAAUUCCCGGUGUAGCGGUGAAAUGCGUAGAGAUCGGGAGGAACACCAGUGGCGAAGGCGGCCUUCUGGACCAGCACUGACACUCAAGCACGAAAGCGUGGGGAGCAAACAGG